UACGGAGGGGGCUAGCGUUGUUCGGAAUCAUUGGGCGUAAAGAGCUCGUAGGCGGUUUGUCGCGUCGAAUGUGAAAUCCCGGGGCUCAACCCCGGGUCUGCAUUCGAUACGGGCAGACUAGAGUUCGGUAGGGGAGUCUGGAAUUCCUGGUGUAGCGGUGAAAUGCGCAGAUAUCAGGAGGAACACCGGUGGCGAAGGCGGGUCUCUGGGCCGAUACUGACGCUGAGGAGCGAAAGCGUGGGGAGCGAACAGG
Molecule: ribosomal RNA, 253 nt
Filed under: uncultured bacterium
Lineage: Bacteria
Description: partial 16S ribosomal RNA
Rfam family: Bacterial small subunit ribosomal RNA
Source: RNAcentral